This is a long non-coding RNA of Magnolia sinica, 1082 nucleotides long. RefSeq lists it as uncharacterized. The transcript has 2 exons. The record is from RefSeq and is a predicted model, not a curated record. NCBI's taxonomy places the organism in Eukaryota, Viridiplantae, Streptophyta, Magnoliopsida, Magnoliales, Magnoliaceae.
AAUGCUUCACACAAAUCACUACAUCCAUUUGUAAAGUUUUCAAAGAAGCUUGACAUGAACUGCAGGCAACAAUCUUUUAUUGUGAAAACAGUAUCAAAUCAUUUGUGAUCAGCAUUACUUGUGUGCUUUUGUCAACUGUUCCUGUGAUAACAGGCGUAUCACACGAAGAGGAAACCUUGAUGAAAUUGCCUACACGAUGAGUUGCACUUCUAUUGGACAUGGCAAAACACCCAUCGUUCAGCCAUUUUAUUGGUUGGAUAUCUUUGAUAGAUCACUUUCCACAAAUUGCAUGGAUUGGGAGAUCCUAGCCACUAAGAUGAUGGAUCAUUUGCACUAUCGUAGACCAUUUUGCCAACAUUCCUCAAAAACCAAUUAUUACACUGAUUGGAUGCAUCAGCAGGAAUUCCCAACCGGGACCCCACCAAAUGAUCUCUCCAGGUCACUAUGCCGAUGUUCAAUUUGAGUGCAGUUCACAUUUAAGGAAACCUAGUACUCUGCGUACAGGCUAGGUCUCUCAUUUUUCAAGUAGUAAAAUGUUCUUGCCAAAUUGAGAUUCAAGCUCACAGCAUGACCCAUUGAUGAAAUUUUGAGAUUGUUUCCAAUUGAUUACCCCACAGUUCUUGCUUGGAUCAACCCAUAUAAUGAAGCAGCCAUUGUUUCAUCAAGCUUGCACAGCAACCUUUAAUGGUUGUGAUGACAAAGGCAAGGGUUACAUCACAAAGCAACAAGUAUCUAAGCUAUUCAACUUGUUUGACAGUGACAAUGACGAUGCUAUUAGUUCCGACAAUUUCAUGGCCUGCCUAAGAAGGAACCCACUGCUUGUUGCACUUUUUGCUUCUAAUUCGAUGCAUUGUGGCUUGAUAGAAGGUGGAAAGCUAGUGAUUGAAUGAUGAUUAUAUGGGCAUAUUAAAGUCCCUGUGAAAUGCUUGAUGAUUGGCUUCUAAUUCAACGUUGUGUGACUUACAAUAGGUGGGAAACUAGAGGUUAUAUGAUGAACAUAUGGGAAUAUGAUUAAAUGAAAUGAUCGAUGUUUGGCUUAUCUUGAAAUGAAAGUCCUGUAACAAGGCUAUUGCUUUUAAUAA